AACCCGUAGAUCCGAACUUGUGCUUCUAUUCUUCACAAGCUUGUAUCUAUAGGUAUG
Molecule: microRNA precursor, 57 nt
Filed under: Gekko japonicus
Lineage: Eukaryota; Metazoa; Chordata; Lepidosauria; Squamata; Gekkonidae
Description: Gja-Mir-10-P2d_pre stem-loop
Rfam family: mir-10 microRNA precursor family
About the family: In this case the mature sequence comes from the 5' arm of the precursor. The extents of the hairpin precursors are not generally known and are estimated based on hairpin prediction. The products are thought to have regulatory roles through complementarity to mRNA.
Source: RNAcentral